This is a long non-coding RNA of Pongo pygmaeus (Bornean orangutan), 5862 nucleotides long. RefSeq lists it as uncharacterized. The transcript has 2 exons. NCBI's taxonomy places the organism in Eukaryota, Metazoa, Chordata, Mammalia, Primates, Hominidae. The record is from RefSeq and is a predicted model, not a curated record.
CAGGCAAAGAAUUAAUAAGAGAUAAUAUUAUCAUUGGUGAAAUGUUAUGUAUGGCUACAUCCUUUCGAUGAGCAUUUAUAGUUCCUUUAAAAUAUGCCUACUGAAGAAAUAUUUACAUGCUAAUUAACAUGUGCAUAGUACCACUAGGUAUUAUAGAGGAUACCAGAUGUUUGUAGUAGACACAGACCUUGCCCUAAGUCCUGGUCUUGAUGUAGUCACAUUUUAGUCAAGUGACCUUCCUUCAAUGGGAAAAUAAAGGACUUUACAAAAGACGUAGAAGACAAUUCUUAAUAUAAAAGUGAUCUAGAUCUUCACAAGUUUGUGAAGAGAAGCAGAUGAGUGAAAUAGAACACUAUCAAUGUAAAAUAUUCUGAGGCCUCUGUAAUGACUAGGAAGCAACAAGAGGGAGGUCAUUUCAGAGAGAGAGGCUCUAGGUUCCAAGCUGGAUUCUCAGGUCAGUGACUGCAGGUCCCCUCCACACCCAUCACCCCACACCCUAAAACCCUCUUCAGUUGCUCACAAAGGUAGAUAAAUACCCACAUUUUUGCCCUCUUCCAUCUUGAAACCCUGGAAACCCUUGCUUCCGCCAGGGAAGUUUACUUAGUAUCUGUCACUCCAAGGGAACCAACGUUCAAGCCAAAGAAUAAGAGUCAAUAUUCCUACCAGAGGUUUACAUUUUUCCCAGGGGUCUAGGUGGAUAUCCCUGGGAACCCCCGUCAACACAGGCAUCUACAGUACAAUCCAGGCCUCCUGUGUUCAGUAGAGGCUGCAAGAGCACUGCAGCCUUUUCCCCAGAGGUGCUAGUUGGGCCCAGUAAAGAUUGCUCCUGAGAAAACACAUAGGUAAUAGAGCAAAGUUCCUAUGUUCUGGUAACAUUUAAUUGUGUUACUUCGCAACCUCCUCUGCACCCACACACUCACAUACGUUUAUUCCACCAACUUCAAAGGAAGGUCAACACGUUAAAAAUAUGUGUGGGAACAAAGAAGGGAGUUUGAAAUUGGUCUAAACCCUCUCUCUGUAUAACUGGGUUUGACACGUACAUUAGGAUUUUACAAGUAUGUAUUUAAUCUUUUUUUAAAAAAAGUGUUUACGUAGGGUUUAGAAUAAUGACAAUAAAUCAACAUUUCUAUUGUCCAUUUGUGUGUUUUCAUAGUAAAUAAUGGUCAUUUAUCCUUAACCAGUAAUACAUAUUUAUGGGUUUAAAUUAGCAAAAGCCUCUCAAAAAGUAGCUCCACUCAUUUAUCCACCGGUGUCCAGAUGCCAUCCAGCACAUGAGGAGCUCCCAGAAAGGAGCAGGGAACAAACUAGGGCUGUCAGGAGUGGAGGAGAAAGAAUGGCAUAUGCAAAAAGGAGCUGUAAUGAAAUCCAAGGGAACAUGGCACACUCUAGUCUUUUGCACAAGACAAAGGGCAAUCCUGGUAAAAAUACAGAUCCCCAGGCCCCAUCCCAGAGAGUCUGAUCUGAUUCUGAAAUGGGGCCAAAGAAUCAGGAUUUUAACAAGCACCUUCACCAGGUGAUCCUUUUGCUGAGAACCCCUGAGAAAUGAGAACCCUGUGCUAGUGCUGAAUGGAGCAUUAUUUUCCAGAGAUGAAGUUUGGUGAUCAGUUUUCCAGAUGGAGCUGGCCCUUGGUCUUUGGUACAUACCUGGGUAUAAAUCCAAGCCACUUCAGAUAUAUGGGCUGAUAUUUCGACCCAAACACUAUCUAUAGCCUAAAUUUUUUCUAAUAUUCUGUUUGUUAUGAAUUGUAGAAAGUUGUAAAUGCUGUAUUUCCUUCUCAUCUAUUUCUGGACUUUGUCACACGACCAAAUUCAAGGGCAUCUGAUAGACAUUUAUUGCACACAUUUUUCUGUAAACAUGAAAACUGAAUUGUCUAAUAGAAAAGGGCAAGGAAGUAGAAAAUAAGAAAUCAUCAUCAAAAGUGGUUUGUUUUGGAAUUAUAUUAAUUGUCUAGCUGCAUAACAAAUCACCCCCAAAAUUGAGUCGCUUAGAACAACAAACAUUGAUCCUCCACAGUUUCUGUGUGUUAGGAAUCAAAGUGAUUUAAUGUAAUGAUUCUGCUCAGGGUCUCUCAGGGGCUGCAAUCCAGGUCUCGGGCUGGGGUCCUUUCAAGGCUGAGCUGGGGAAAGAUCCAUGUCUAAGCUCACUCACAUGGCCGAUGGCGGGAUUCAGUUCCUCUUUGGCUGUCAGACUGAGGGCCUCCAUGUCUCCAUGGUUGUUAGCCAGAGCCCUCUCUCAGUUCCUUUCCACAUGGGCCUCUCCACAGGGCAACUCACAACAUGGCAGCUGGUUUCCAGUAGAGCAAGCAAGUGAGAGAACAAGAAAGGCAAGCAAGGUGAAUGUCCCAGUCUUUUGUAACCUCAUCUCAGAAGUGUUACCCCAUCACUUUUGCCAUGUUUUAUUAUUUAGAAGCAAAUCACUAAGUCCAGCCCACACUUAGAGGGAUGGCAUUACACAAGGGAAUGAACACCAGCAGAUAGGGUCAUUGAAAGCCAUCUUAGAUGCUGUCUAUCGCAUCUAAGUGUGAGUUUUCUAGAUGAAAAGAAUAUAUUAAUUUGUUUCAGUCUUAGUUGAUGUACCAUCCCAUUUGUGCUUCGCUAAAACUUGUAUCAAUGUAAAGCAAACAUUUUCUGAUACAAUUUAGGUAGUGUACUGUGGUAAUAGAGUCCAGUAGUGUUGGAAAGAUAUGUUGAGGUCAGAAAUUAAGCUCAUGUUUCUAAAAGAGGAAAUGUACGACUACUAUGCAAGCCAACAGGAAAGAGUGUUUUAAGAAUGCUUUCUGCUACAGGUGACUAAAAACCUAAACAGCUGUGGCUUAAAAAUAAAGGUAUAUCUAUGUCACAUAAGUAAAAGUCUAGGGGUGGGCAGCUGUUGGCAUUGCUUCAGUAGCUUGAUAAUGGCAAAAGCAGCAUCUCUUCUAUUUCCUUGGCCUUCUAGUCAUGCAUGUCACCUCACAAUCACAACACAGGCAACACCUCAUAUUCUAAGCAAGAUGAAAAGGGCAAAGAAUUAUGCCAUAUGCCUCUGUCUCUUUUCAAAAGGAAGAGAAAGCUUCCCUGGAAGUCUCCUCUAGCAGAUUUCACUCAGAUCUCAUUGGCCAGAACUGAGUCACAUGCCUGCCUUAAACCAAUCACUCACCAAGAAAACUAACAUUAUCAUGGCAAGUCUAAACUAACUGUGACUCAUCUCUGAAAUCAAAAGAUUAUUACCAUUACCCGAAUCCAUCAGGAUCCUGUUGGCAGAGAAGUGGGACUGUAAAUUUUGAGCAGGCAACAAACAAGUCUUCUGUAAACUUCUUACGUGUUGUUUUUUAUGUGUUCUAUAUAUCCAGUACAAUCACAAUUUCCAAUAACAGUCUAAAAAGGUAUUUUCCAAUAGAAACAGAAUGUGUAAGAUCAUUACUUACGAAAUCCCAAAUGUACUUAAGGUUUCCUUCUUGAAAAUUCCUUAUUCAAAAUAAAAUGUCCAGAUUUUGAAACCCAGAAAAGAUUCUAUAUUUUAAAAAUCCUGUGCACAUGUAAACUGUUUUUCAAAUAUUGCCUUCAGAUACAUUGAACAGAAUGAAAUCUUCUGAGAUUUACUACAUCAGCCAAGUAUUAUCAAAACAAACAGGACAGAUUGCUUUUCUUGACGUCUGCUGCUUGAUUUGUGUUAACUCAUGUUUCUGAAAUUGUAGUAUCAUAAGCCAAUGCUGCACAAAGGUAUUUAAUGUCAUUUAUAAAAAUCUAGUAAUGUAAACUGUUAACUCCUUAUAAAGCAUCUGUUGACACACAAAAAUAUCACUGAAGUGUAUUUAUGCUUUUCUUCUUUAGGUCUGCAUAAUAAUUCUCUCCAGAAGGCCAAGUUGUUGCAUAAAUUACAGAACAGAAAGUUGGUUGUGGGAGGGGUAGCUCAACCUCAUCUGAGGCAUCCCACUCUAAGAAACUAAUGGCACCUACACCUCUUGGGCAUUGAGUUUUUAAGCCAAUUUUUAAUUCUUGUUCUGCUCAAAUUCUAAGUGAGCACAUAAAGUGCUGCUCCAAGCAAGACCAGCCCUUGUAGAAGGGCAAGUGGAGUCAGUCCCCUAGGAAACGGGACUGGGGAGUGAUCGUUUCAAUGAGAGAUAAAUCAAACUGAUGCUAAAUGUGAACAAUGAGCCCAUUAGAGAUUGUGAGAAAGAGGCACCAUCAUCCACUCAACAAUAGACCUGUGGGACCUCUUGAUAGCCUGAGGAUGUUUAAUUUCAGGUGCAGGUAUCCAGAAUGUAGCAGCUAGACUGAUCAAGGAUGUGUGAUGAUAGCAAGCAGUAGUGGAAGAGCCCAGGAGAGUUCCUAAGCCUGAAUUGCAAUCCUGUGCUGCCAUAAAAUGGGAAGAUAUACUUGUUCCAGUCAUCUGACAGCUUUGGUCAUCAAUUUCUCUAUCUCAUAUGUGACUCUGUUGCUUUAAGAAUCACUUUAGCUUUAAAUAUCUAUGAAUCUGCUGAAGCAGCUGUGCUUUGAUUGAUGUGGAACUCUGAACUCCCUUAAAUACAAAGACCAAUUAUUUAGCCGAGCUUUGUUGGAUUCAGUGCAUGAAUCUGAAUACAUGUCAAAAUAUACUUGGAUUUGUAAAAAAUAUUCCUUCCUGGUUUUUUCACCGUAGAUAGAUGUACAAAAAUGUCCGUGUUCACACUGUGGAAAGGACAUUUCUCGUAAACUCACACAGAGAUACCUUUCAAGUCAAUGCCUUAGAAGCAAUGAGAGAUUUAAAGGAGACCUAGAGAUAUGAAAGGAGAAGGCAGAGAAGGUACGUGAGGAGGAUGAUGUAACUUCCUAGGGAAAAAGUAUGAAGCAUAAGGCUGGACAUAGACCUGGGAAUCAGGAAAUUAAAGUUCUAAUUGCAGCUUUUCCAUUGGUUCACUUGAGAUCUUGAGAAUGUCUGUCUCAUUUUAAUCAUUCUGGGCCUCAGUUUCUAUAUCUGUCAAUUAGAGUGAGAGUCCCUGGCUGGGUGCCCAGGAUUGUGAGAACAUACCAUUCACAGCCAUAAAAAUACAAUCAGUACCAAUAAUGUACUAGAUGUCCUAACUUAAAGUGGAAACAUUAACCAGAGUAAUUCUUUGAAUGAUCAAACUGGGAAUAUUUUAGGAAGCAUAUCUAUCUGGGUGAAAAUUAAGCAAAUAAGACAAUUGUAAAGGCUUGUGGUCUCAGGAAUACAAAGGCAAAAAUGCCCAGACUUGAAAUAUGACAAGUUCUAGUUUUGUCACUUAGCAUCUCUGUGACUUUGGAUAAUUUCUUAACCCCCGGGAGUAUUCUCAUCUGUAAAAUGGGAAUAAUGACAUGCACUUCAGUGGGUUGUGGUGAAGAUUAUUACAAAUGGAAAUUAGCUCUUUUGAGCCACUUGUGGGGUUUAAAUUCCCAGCCCUUAUGUGCUUUGCAGCUGUUAGUUCCUCUUAUUACAAUUGUCUAUUUAAAAACCUAGUCACAGCCUGGUGCAGUAGCUCACGUCUGUAAUCCCAACACUUUGGGAGGCCAAGGCAGGAGAAUUGCUUGAGCUCAGGCGUUCGAGAUCAGCCUAGGCAACAUAGUGAGAACCUCUCAUCUCUACAAAAAGCAAAAAAUUAGCCAGUGAUGCAUGGCUGUAGUCCCAGCUAUUCUGAGAGCUGAAGUUGGAGGAUUGCUUGAGCCCAGGAGGUAAAGGCUGCAGUGGGCAGUGAUCAUGCCGCUGCACUCUAGCCUGGUUGACAGAGCAAGAGUCAUCUUUUUCCAAAAAAAGAAAGUUUCUUUUUCCAAAAAAAGAAAGAAAGGGAGGAAGGAAGGAAGGAAGGAAGGAAGGAAGGAAGGAAGGAAAGAAAGAAGGAGAAAGAAAGAAAGAAAGAAAAGAAAGAAAGAAAGAAAGAAAGAAGGAAA